RNAcentral lists this long non-coding RNA (539 nucleotides) under Gossypium barbadense (sea-island cotton). RNAcentral describes it as "long non-coding RNA (GBAR_LNC006046)". Lineage: Eukaryota; Viridiplantae; Streptophyta; Magnoliopsida; Malvales; Malvaceae. The record is from RNAcentral.
CUUGUCGUCCCACCCUUUCAUUUUCUCUCUUCUUCCUUAGUUUUUCUCUCAUUUCUUCUUCACUGUGUCGCCUUAACCCUAAUUAUUUUGCAACCUUGUACCACCCAUUCUUUUUUCCUAUACCAUUGUUGUUGUCACCCCUCUGCUGCCAUUUUUUUCUUCUCCAUUAUCGCUGUCCUAGUGAUCAAACACCACCUUUGUCGUUGCCAUCCCUUUGCUUCUUUUCUUCUACUCUCUUUGUUAUUCUAUUAUCGUAGAUCUAAGUCGAAAACUGUAAGUUUUCUAGAUCUGAUCUACUUUCUUUUUUUUUUCUUUUUUUUUCCUAUGAUGGUCGAAUUUUUCGAGUGCUAACUUUGUGAAUUUUCCUUGUCAAUGGUCCUGAUCUGAACUCCUAAAAUCUCCAAUGAAGUUUAGGGCUGUGUGCAUCUUUCGUUUGAUCGAUAGAGGAGUAAGUGAUCACGGAAACUCAGUUCUGAAAUUUUAGUUUGUUUCUUGAUUUGGCUGAACCCUAUAUGGGUGUUGAAGGUUAGUUAUAACCG